UACGUAGGGGGCUAGCGUUGUCCGGAAUCAUUGGGCGUAAAGCGCGUGUAGGCGGCUCGGUAAGUCCGUUGUGAAAGUCGGGGGCUCAACCCUCGGAUGCCGGUGGAUACUGUCGGGCUUGAGUACGGAAGAGGCGAGUGGAAUUCCUGGUGUAGCGGUGAAAUGCGCAGAUAUCAGGAGGAACACCGAUUGCGAAGGCAGCUCGCUGGGACGUUACUGACGCUGAGACGCGAAAGCGUGGGGAGCAAACAGG
This 253-nucleotide ribosomal RNA is filed under the name uncultured bacterium. Its description in RNAcentral is "partial 16S ribosomal RNA". It matches the Rfam family "Bacterial small subunit ribosomal RNA", at positions 524 to 776 of the family's 1533-position model. The record is from RNAcentral.